UGGGGAAUUUUGCGCAAUGGGGGAAACCCUGACGCAGCAACGCCGCGUGAGUGAUGAAGGCCUUCGGGUCGUAAAGCUCUUUUAGUGGGGAAGAAACCUUUAGGGUGAAUAUCCCUGGAGAAUGACGGUACCCACAGAAAAAGUUCCGGCUAACUACGUGCCAGCAGCCGCGGUAAUACGUAGGGAGCAAGCGUUGUUCGGAAUUAUUGGGCGUAAAGAGCGCGUAGGCGGUUCGGUAAGUCUGGCGUGAAAUCCCGGAGCUCAACUCCGGAACUGCGUCGGAUACUGCCGAGCUUGAGUGUGGGAGAGGUGAGUGGAAUUCCCAGUGUAGAGGUGAAAUUCGUAGAUAUUGGGAGGAACACCCGUGGCGAAGGCGGCUCACUGGACCACAACUGACGCUGAGGCGCGAAAGCUAGGGUAGCAAACGGG
RNAcentral lists this ribosomal RNA (429 nucleotides) under uncultured Pseudomonadota bacterium. RNAcentral describes it as "bacterial SSU rRNA". It matches the Rfam family "Bacterial small subunit ribosomal RNA", at positions 355 to 776 of the family's 1533-position model. Lineage: Bacteria; Pseudomonadati; Pseudomonadota. The record is from RNAcentral.